UACAGAGGGUGCAAGCGUUAAUCGGAAUUACUGGGCGUAAAGCGCGCGUAGGUGGUUCGUUAAGUUGGAUGUGAAAUCCCCGGGCUCAACCUGGGAACUGCAUUCAAAACUGUCGAGCUAGAGUAUGGUAGAGGGUGGUGGAAUUUCCUGUGUAGCGGUGAAAUGCGUAGAUAUAGGAAGGAACACCAGUGGCGAAGGCGACCACCUGGACUGAUACUGACACUGAGGUGCGAAAGCGUGGGGAGCAGACAGG
RNAcentral lists this ribosomal RNA (253 nucleotides) under uncultured bacterium. Its description in RNAcentral is "partial 16S ribosomal RNA". It matches the Rfam family "Bacterial small subunit ribosomal RNA", at positions 524 to 776 of the family's 1533-position model. The record is from RNAcentral.